Molecule: ribosomal RNA, 301 nt
Filed under: uncultured bacterium
Lineage: Bacteria
Description: partial 16S ribosomal RNA
Rfam family: Bacterial small subunit ribosomal RNA
Source: RNAcentral
CAGCCGCCGCGGGAAUACGAAGGGUGCAAGCGUUAAUCGGAAUUACUGGGCGUAAAGCGUGCGUAGGCGGUUUGUUAAGUCUGUUGUGAAAUCCCCGGGCUCAACCUGGGAAUGGCAAUGGAUACUGGCAAGCUAGAGUGUGUCAGAGGGUGGUGGAGUUCCCGGUGUAGCGGUGAAAUGCGUAGAGAUCGGGAGGAACAUCAGUGGCGAAGGCGGCCAUCUGGGACAACGCUGACGCUGAGGCACGAAAGCGUGGGGAGCAAACAGGAUUAGAUACCCGCGUAGUCCCUGUCUCUUAUAC